AGUGAACGCUGGCGGUAGGCCUAACACAUGCAAGUCGAACGGCAGCACAGUAAGAGCUUGCUCUUACGGGUGGCGAGUGGCGGACGGGUGAGGAAUACAUCGGAAUCUACUUUUUCGUGGGGGAUAACGUAGGGAAACUUACGCUAAUACCGCAUACGACCUACGGGUGAAAGCAGGGGAUCUUCGGACCUUGCGCGAUUGAAUGAGCCGAUGUCGGAUUAGCUAGUUGGCGGGGUAAAGGCCCACCAAGGCGACGAUCCGUAGCUGGUCUGAGAGGAUGAUCAGCCACACUGGAACUGAGACACGGUCCAUACUACUACGGGAGGCAGCAGUGGGGAAUAGUGGACAAUGGGCGCAAGCCUGAUCCAACCAUACCGAGUGGGUGAAGAAGGCCUUCGGGUUGUGAAGCCCUUUUGUUGGGAAAGAAAAGCAGCAGGUUAAUACGCCGCUGUUCUGACGGUACCCAAUGAAUAAGCACCGGCUAACUUCGUG
This 492-nucleotide ribosomal RNA is filed under the name uncultured bacterium. RNAcentral describes it as "partial 16S ribosomal RNA". It matches the Rfam family "Bacterial small subunit ribosomal RNA", at positions 29 to 507 of the family's 1533-position model. The record is from RNAcentral.